CGGAGAACUCGAGAAAGUCUAGGUAAAGAGCUCAGGCCCUCUCAAUGUCAUGUAGCCUAAAGAAACACCUCCUUUAAGAUACCCGCUAGCGCAUGGAGACCCAUGAAUGAAGACUUCCUCCAAAUUAGCCACAGAUCAACUACGCAGCCAAAAAUGGCACUGAUGCUCUCCCGCCAGAACGGAGCUCUCGCCCUCUGUAACCCUAAACUUUCCGGCGGUCCUCUUCUCAAACCUGUCUCCACCUUUUCUUCUCCGGUUCACGAACCUCUAAAAUCCUUCUCUUUUUCCUUUAACGCCCCCAGAACCCCUGUAAACCACAUAUUCAUCGCCAAACAAGUUUCCCUACUCUCCCAGCACUGGCGAAUUCCCACUAUUUCUUAUCCCACCGAUUCACAAGACCUUCUCACUGGGCCAACACGGACCCUGACAACUAUCUUAACGUUAGAGUUUUCUCUAUCACGGCUAUUUGUAAAUUCAAUUCAGAAAUAGGCUCUGUCAGUAGGAGGAAUUUCGUUUCUGCCUAAUCUCAAUGAAUUGGCGG
RNAcentral lists this unclassified non-coding RNA (541 nucleotides) under Hevea brasiliensis (rubber tree). Lineage: Eukaryota; Viridiplantae; Streptophyta; Magnoliopsida; Malpighiales; Euphorbiaceae. The record is from RNAcentral.